GUGGGGAAUAUUGCACAAUGGGCGCAAGCCUGAUGCAGCAACGCCGCGUGAGGGACGACGGCCUUCGGGUUGUAAACCUCUUUUAGCAGGGAAGAAGCGAAAGUGACGGUACCUGCAGAAAAAGCACCGGCUAACUACGUGCCAGCAGCCGCGGUAAUACGUAGGGUGCAAGCGUUGUCCGGAAUUAUUGGGCGUAAAGAGCUCGUAGGCGGUUUGUCGCGUCUGCUGUGAAAACCCGAGGCUCAACCUCGGGCCUGCAGUGGGUACGGGCAGACUAGAGUGCGGUAGGGGAGAUUGGAAUUCCUGGUGUAGCGGUGGAAUGCGCAGAUAUCAGGAGGAACACCGAUGGCGAAGGCAGAUCUCUGGGCCGCUACUGACGCUGAGGAGCGAAAGCAUGGGGAGCGAACAGGAUUAGAAACCCCUGUAGUCC
Molecule: ribosomal RNA, 430 nt
Filed under: uncultured bacterium
Lineage: Bacteria
Description: partial 16S ribosomal RNA
Rfam family: Bacterial small subunit ribosomal RNA
Source: RNAcentral